RNAcentral lists this small RNA (27 nucleotides) under Bombyx mori (domestic silkworm). Its description in RNAcentral is "ovarian small RNA-35467". The record is from RNAcentral. Lineage: Eukaryota; Metazoa; Arthropoda; Insecta; Lepidoptera; Bombycidae.
UGUAUCAUGUAUUGGAUGUUUAUUGGU